CCGUUAACUGUCUUCACCUGCUCAGAUGAUAGUUGACUCUGCUUGUGGAGAGACGAAAUACUCACGAAGCUUGUGUGUGAAUAAGAGCGCUUCAUCUUUGGGGACAAUUUUAUUGUGCUUGGAAGGAAACGGAUUUGUUGGAUUUUUGAGUGAUCGUGGCUGCAGUAACGUUAGUAAUGUCCCAUUUUGGGUUUGAGAAUGACAUCCACAACGUCCUCCGUCUGGACAUGCCCAUCACAAAUGCCCCGAUGGCGAGGUGGCAGAGAAAAGCCAGCACAUCCAACUCCACCAGCACGAACUCCCUCUCGCCGAACAAGAGUGUCAACAGAUCCGCGAGCCUUUCCAAAACCCCCAGUAAAACACCCGG
Molecule: long non-coding RNA, 367 nt
Organism: Sinocyclocheilus grahami
Lineage: Eukaryota; Metazoa; Chordata; Actinopteri; Cypriniformes; Cyprinidae
Exons: 2
Source: RefSeq, a predicted model, not a curated record